Molecule: ribosomal RNA, 443 nt
Filed under: uncultured bacterium
Lineage: Bacteria
Description: partial 16S ribosomal RNA
Rfam family: Bacterial small subunit ribosomal RNA
Source: RNAcentral
CCUACGGGAGGCAGCAGUGGGGAAUAUUGGGCAAUGGGCGCAAGCCUGACCCAGCAACGCCGCGUGAAGGAAGAAGGCUUUCGGGUUGUAAACUUCUUUUCUCAGGGACGAAGCAAGUGACGGUACCUGAGUAAUAAGCCACGGCUAACUACGUGCCAGCAGCCACGGUAAUACGUAGGUGGUAAGCGUUAUCCGGAUUUACUGGGUGUAAAGGGCGAGUAGGUGGGAAAGUAAGUCAGAUGUGAAAACCAUGGGCUCAAGCUGUGGACUGCAUUUGAAACUGUUUUUCUUGAGUAAUGGAGAGGCAGACGGAAUUCGUAGUGUAGCGGUGAAAUGCGUAGAUAUUAGGAAGAACACCGAGGGCGAAGGCGGUCUGCUGGACAGCAACUGACGCUGAGGCGCGAAAGCGUGGGGAGCAAACAGGAUUAGAUACCCGAGUAGUC